CUUCCCUGGUCUUGUCGGCCUUGCCAGAGCUGAGAGUGGACAGGUGGCCCCAGUUACCUGUGGCACCUCCAUGGCAGAAAUGGAGAAGACGUGGAGGCAGAAGAUCUUGGAGCCGUUGUAGCCCACCAUGAAGCCCUGCAGCUUCUGCCGGUGCACAGGAAAGGCCCCUCCUGCUAUUGAUUCUGCUGCCGAGAACAAGGAGACUGGUAAGGGGACCGAAUCUGCCUGUAACAUCAGGAAACCCUGCGGUGGCCAAGGGUUUUCCUUCUUCAUGUAGUUGAGAUUAUGCCUCCAGCCUCCACCACCCAUGCCCCUCCAUCCAGGCUUCCAGAGGGAUCCAAGGGAAAGCCACCUCUGGUGGCCCUGAGACCUUCAGAGGUGGAGCUCCACGUCAGGAAACACUCAGGUUACUUCUUUCUCAACAGCAGUGCCACAGAUGACAUGAAGGUGGCCUACCAGGAGGCCAGGGCCAUCACCAUGAAAUCCAGCAGCCCGAGGAGCCUCCAUAUCAUUCUGUAUUCCAUGUUGGCUGGGGCCCUGCCCUUCUACUCAGGGAACCUGGCAGCCCUCAGGAAAAAAGUGAUCACAGGAUGAUACUAUUCCCCACUAUUUUUUCCACUUCAAAUUCAAAGCUUUAUUAACAAGUACUUAAUGCUAGACAUUAGGGAGCAGUCCCUACUGGAACAACUGAUGAGGGACCUGUGGGUGAACCGUGGCCCGAAGAUGCCAAUGACAUCGUUCAAAGAGCCGCUCCUGGACCACCCGAACCCCAACAACCCAGCUCACUGUGGCCAUGGGAUUCCAAGCUGAGAGCAUCUCCGUGUCACUUGUAGAAAGAAAAUUCAACUAUCCCAUGGCCACCUACCUCAUUUUAGAGCACCCAAAACUAAAGAGGAAGCACUCUACCAUCUGAGAACUAUCCCUUCCUCCUGGGGUUCCCACCUGUCCCUCUCCAUCCACCGAAGUUUCCACCUUCCCUCUCCCACUGAAAAGGGCUCACAGAGAGCCAACUUGUCACACUUUUAACAUUCAGCUGCCCGAGGAGGGCCAGAAGUCAGGGCAGAAGACCACCAUUCCUGCCAGUGCAUCUGCCGGCCUGCAGAGGAAGCCAGACAGUUUUAGUGAAGCCCCCAGCACGACCCUGUAGGUUCCUUCUCUACCCCGAGCACCAGCAGUAGUGGAGGAAAGCCAGAAAAAACCUUGAUCCAGCGACAAGCACUGCAGGAAGCCAGCUUCCUCCAAGCUGGGCAGCCAGAGGCGGUGAAUUCAGCCUCAUAGACAAGAAACCAGGGCUGCCACAGGGCUGCCAGAAGACGCCUUUCAUUUCUUCUACAACAACUGCGUUGCUUGUGCCCAGCACAGAAAAUUCUUGCAAAUAAGCUCACCCCAACGAAGUAGUGGGAUGACUGUGGUGAAGACGAAAAUCGAGUAUGUGGGGCGGUCAAAAUGCACUUCCUGCAUUUUACUUACUACGUUUUUAUUAGUAUUUUUUUAAUUAGCAAGUCAUGCUCGUAUUUAUUUGUGGGGUAGAAUGUGAUGAUUAGUUGGAUGUGUGCACCUUGGAAUGAUGAAAUCAAGCUACGUAGCUUCUCCACCACCUCAGAAAGACCAAUUCCACAUGAUGUCAUGGAAAUGGUGAUUGGGAAAAGCUGACCUCAUAGAAGUCGUGGGUAGAUCAAUGUUGACAGGAGCCGGUGAGUGGCACAGGGAGGGAAUGGGGGGGUUGCUGGUCAAAGGACCAAAGUCUCCGAUGGACAGGAGGAAGAGGUUUUGACAUCCAGUGCACAGCAGGGUGACCAGAGUCAAUGGAAAUAUACUGGAUAUUGCAAAACACCUGAGAGAGUCCACUUCAAAUGUCUUUUUGCAUUUACAUUGGAAAGGAUGAAGGCCCUGAGGUCCAAGAACAUUAAAACCUGACAGGUCGGUCAUCUGUAGACUCCAGUGGCUACAGGUAGGAGCCAGGCAAGAUGCCCACACUGUCGUGGACUUUAAAGGCAUCCUAUCCAAAGGGGUGAACUGAAGGACAGCCUGGAGCUUCCUGGAGACCAGAGGGCCCCUCCACCCCUCCUGGAGCAACAUCAGAGCCUGGACUGUUUCCUGUAGCACUUCUCUCCUGCCCUGCUCUAUUUUAUUUUUUUUAAUAAAGAUGGCUCCUGAUAAAUGACUCUCUUUCUUUUUUUCUUUUCUUUUCUUUUUGAGACAGAGUCCUGUUCC
Long non-coding RNA from Aotus nancymaae (Ma's night monkey), 2214 nucleotides. The record is from Ensembl. NCBI's taxonomy places the organism in Eukaryota, Metazoa, Chordata, Mammalia, Primates, Aotidae.